GGUGUGUGUCCAUGAGGCAGUUUAUUCCCCUGGUGGGACCCCCCCAGAGGGCACUGGCAGUGGAGGAUGGGUGAUCUGCUCCGUAGGGUGGUGCGAGAACAUUAAGCACUGGGCAGGGGCAAUGUCUGAGGGAAUGGAGAUCUCAGACACAGCGGGGCAGCUGCAUCCCACCCCAGGCUCAGCGUCAGGGAGCAGCUCCAUGUCGACUGGACCCUCUGGAUCUCUAGAGUGAAAUCAAGGAGUUGGUCGUGGGCUUCAGGAAGGGGAAAUUGAGGGAUCACACACCAGUCCUCAUGGAGGGAUCAGAAAUGGAAAAGGAAAUCGUUUAAAUUUAAGAGACGUGCAGAAGAAGACCUGAGAGCUGGAGCAGGAUUACAAAACAAAAACGAUUCUGGGAUGUACUCCUGUCCUAGACCAUCGAAAGCUUUAAAAACAAAAGGGUGUUCCACUAAUAUCAGCAGCACAGAGAGAAGAGAUGGGCUCUGUUUCUUGGAGGACACAAAUGCAAGAUUGAAUUCAAGAGGACGACUAACCAUGGAAAUGCUGAUGGUUCCCGACCUGUGGUAGUGGCCAGUGCCGUCAUGUUUGCUGUUGUGUGCUGGGGCAGCAGGCUGAGGGUAGCAGACACCAACAGGAUCAACAAACUCAUUCGUAAGGCCAGUGAUGUUGUGGGGAUGGAACUGGACUCUCUCACGGUGGUGUCUGAAAAGAGGAUGCUGUCUAAGUUGCAUGCCAUCUUGGUCAAUGUCUCCCAUCCACUACAUAAUGUACUGGGUGGGCACAGGAGUACAUUCAGCCAGAGACUCAUUCUACCGAGAUGCAGCACAGAGCGUCAUAGGAAGUCAUUCCUGCCUGUGGCCAUCAAACUUUACAACUCCUCCCUUGGAGGGUCAGACACCCUGAGCCAAUAGGCUGGUCCUGGACUUAUUUCCUGGCAUAAUUUACAUAUUACUAUUUAACUAUUUAUGGUUUUAUUACUAGUUGUUAUUUAUGGAGCAACUGUAACGAAAAUCCAAUUUCUCCCGGGAUCAAUAAAGUAUGACUAUGACAAUGACCUUCUCCCCGUAACCUUUGAUGCCAUGUCCAAUCAAGAACCUAUCAAUUUCUGCCUUAAAUACACCCAACGACCUGGCCUCCACAGCUGUAUGUGGCAAAAAUUUCCACAAAUUCACCACCUCUGACAAAAGAAAUUUCUCCGCAUCUCUGUUUUGAAAGGGCACCCCUCUAUCCUGAGGCUGUGCCCUCUUGUCCUAGACUCCCCCACCAUGGGAAACAUCCUUUCCACAUCUACUCUGUCUCGGCCUUUCAACAUUUGAAAGGUUUCAAUGAGAUUCCCCCCUCAUCCUGAAUUCCAGCAAGUACAGACCCAGAGCCAUCAAACGUUCAUCGUAUGAUAACCCUUUCAUUGCUGGAAUCAUCUUUAUGAACUUCCUCUGGACCCUCUCCAAUGCCAGCACAUCUUUUCUAAGAUGAGGGGCCCAAAACUGUUCACAAUACUCAAGGUGAGGCCUCACCAGUGCCUCACAAAGCCUCAGCACUACAUCCCUGCUCUUGUAUUCUAGACCUCUUAAAAUGAAUGCUAACAUGGCAUUUGCCUUCCUCACCACCGACUCGACCUGCAAGUUAACCUUUAGAGUGUUCUGCACAAGGACUUCCAAGUCCCUUUGCAUCUCAGAUUUCUGGAUUUUCUCCCCGUUUAGAAAAUUGUCCACACUGCUAUUUCUACUACCAAAGUGCAUGACCAUGCAUUUUCCAACAUUCUAUUUCAUUUGCCACUUUCUCGCCCAUUCUCCUAAUCUAAGUCCUUCUGCAUCCUACUUGUUUCCUCAACACUACCUGCCCCUCCACCAAUCUUCGAAUCAUCUGCAAACUUGGCAACAAAGCCAUCUAUUCCAUCAUCUAAAUCGUUUAUAUACAGCAUAAAAAGAAGCGGUCCCAACACCGAUCCCUGCGGAACACCACUAGUCACUGGCAGCCAACCGGAAAAGGAUCCUUUUAUUCCCACUCGCUGCCUCCUAACAAUCAGCCAAUGCUCUAACCAUGUUAGUAACUUUCCUGUAAUAACAUGGACUCUUAAUUUGGUAAGCAGCCUCAUGUGUGGCACCUUGUCAAAGGCCUUCUGAAAGUCCAAACACACAACAUCCACUGCAUCCCCUUUAUCUAUCCUACUUGUUAUCUCCUCAAAGAAUUCCAACAGGUUCAUCAGGCAGGAUUUCCCCUGAAGGAAACCAUGCUGACUUUGUACUAUUUUGUUCUGUGUCACCAAGUACUCCGUAAACUCAUCCUUAGCAAUUGACUCAUCACCUCAUCCUUGACAAUUGACUCCAACAUCUCCUGAACCACUGUGGUCAGGCUAACUGGUCUAUAAUUUCCUUUCUGCUGCCUCCCCCCUAUUCUUAAAGAGUGGAGUGACAUUUGCAAUUUUCCAGUCCUUUGGCACCAUGCCAGAGUCCAAUUAUUUUGAAAGAUCAUUUCUGAUGUCUUUGUAUCUCUACCACGACCUCAUUCAGAACCCUAGGGUGCAGCUCAUCUGGUCCAGGUGACUUAUGUACCUUCAGGUCUUUCAGCUUUUUGAGCACCUUCUCUCUUGUAACAGUAACUGCACCCACUUCCCUUCCUUCACCCACUACAACAUCUGGCACACUGCUAGUGUCUUCCACAGUGAAGACUAACGCAAAAUACUCAUUUAGUUCAUCUGCCAUCUCCUUGUCUCCUGUUAUUAUGCCCCACCUCAUUUUCUAGCAGUCCUAUAUCCACUCUCAUUUCUC
Long non-coding RNA from Mobula hypostoma (lesser devil ray), 2768 nucleotides. RefSeq lists it as uncharacterized. The record is from RefSeq and is a predicted model, not a curated record. Lineage: Eukaryota; Metazoa; Chordata; Chondrichthyes; Myliobatiformes; Myliobatidae. The transcript has 4 exons.